GUGCUCGCAAGCUGGUCAAUUACUAGAAUUUGGUUGAUAGGAGCCUUGAGAUUUUCAUUGCCAGAUUUAAGGACUUUGUCUUCAAGUGUUUGGAUUUCAUGGAUUCUCAGUUGUUGCUAAGCUUAGUGUUGUUGUUUGGAGCCUCUAGUCUUCUUAUAAUUUGUUACCAUGGCAACAGAAACACUCUUUGCCUGAAGAUGUUGUGUCUAUAGCAGUUGGUUUAUUAGCAGAUUAGCAAUCAGCUCAAGAUCAACAUGAGAGUUGAGGUACGAGUAGAAGCCAAGAAUAUUAUAAUAUUUAUUGUAGUGGAUGCCAAUGAUCAUAUCAAUUUUUUUUUAUAAUAUUUGAAAGUAGGCUUUGAUUGUAUUAUAAGGAAUAGUUGUGGUCAAUUUAUUAGAGCAUUCUGUGGUUUAUGCAAGGGAAUUU
Molecule: unclassified non-coding RNA, 426 nt
Filed under: Hevea brasiliensis (rubber tree)
Lineage: Eukaryota; Viridiplantae; Streptophyta; Magnoliopsida; Malpighiales; Euphorbiaceae
Source: RNAcentral